Molecule: ribosomal RNA, 467 nt
Filed under: uncultured bacterium
Lineage: Bacteria
Description: partial 16S ribosomal RNA
Rfam family: Bacterial small subunit ribosomal RNA
Source: RNAcentral
GACGAACGCUGGCGGCGUGCUUAACACAUGCAAGUCGAACGGAAAGGCCUCGUUCGGGGGGUACUCGAGUGGGGAAAGGGUGUGUAAAACGUGAGUAUCCUGCCCUUGACUUUGGGGUAACUUCAGAAAAAUGGGGCUAAUACCGGAUAGAAGAUCCUGCUGCAUGGUGGGGGUUGGAGAGAUUCGGCGGUUGGGGGUUGACUCGCGGGUUAUCAGCUUGUUGGGGGGGGAGUGGGUUACCAAGGCGUUGUCGGGUAGCCGGCCCGGGAGGGUGACCCGGCAACAUGGGACUUGGAUAACGGCCAGGACCCUACCGGAGGCAGCAGGUGGGAAUAAUGCACAAUGGGUCGAAGCCUGAUGCAGCAACGCCGUGUGCGGGAUGACGGCCUUCGGGUUGGAAACCGCUUUCGCUCAUGACGAAGCUGUGUGUGACGGUAGUGGGUAAAGAAGCACCGGCUAACUACGUG